This 21-nucleotide non-coding RNA is filed under the name Caenorhabditis elegans. Lineage: Eukaryota; Metazoa; Nematoda; Chromadorea; Rhabditida; Rhabditidae. The record is from RNAcentral.
UCUUUUUUGAGACUUAACUGA